CGACGUGAGGAACCUGCCUUCCAGAGGGGGACAACAGUUGGAAACGACUGCUAAUACCGCAUGAUGCGUUGGAGCCGCAUGACUCCGACGUCAAAGAUUUAUCGCUGGAGGAUGGCCUCGCGUCUGAUUAGCUAGUUGGUGAGGUAACGGCCCACCAAGGCGACGAUCAGUAGCCGGACUGAGAGGUUGGCCGGCCACAUUGGGACUGAGAUACGGCCCAGACUCCUACGGGAGGCAGCAG
This 241-nucleotide ribosomal RNA is filed under the name uncultured bacterium. RNAcentral's name for it is "partial 16S ribosomal RNA". It matches the Rfam family "Bacterial small subunit ribosomal RNA", at positions 113 to 354 of the family's 1533-position model. The record is from RNAcentral.